CAGUUCAAUUCUAUUCAGUUCUAUUCUCUAUUUUAUUCUAUUUUCUAUAUUCUACUUUAUUUGCUAUAUUCUAUUCUAUUUUAUUUACUCUACUCUACUCUACUCUACUCUACUCUACUUACCAAAACAUCCCCAUAGAACAAGGAAUCAACAAAACCAUGCAAGGGAAGUUGUCUGGAUGGUGCUACCUUGCAGGGAAAGUGUUAGCAAGGAGCCAUCGUGGUUGGCUGAAGCUGAGAAGGGGUUUGUUCACCAGUAACGCAAACCUGGGUCCUGCAGAAAAAGACUCCAAGAGUCAUCAGCUUCUCAAGGAGUGGGCCUUGACCGUCAGCCCUUUCGGUCUUCUGAAGGCCCGUCUCCCUUACCACAUAACCGUGGGUCCCCUGGACGCCCAUAAGUACCCCGAUUCUGACAAGGUGUUUCUGGCCCUGAAGGGGAAGGGUUUGAAUCCCGACCCUGCCUCGCAUCUGCUUGUGAACUACGACGAGGCCCGGAAGGAGGUGGUGAUCGUCUCUGAUGACGUGGACGGUGCAGCUUCUCUGGAUGUGAGGAUGCCGGUAAAAUUUGACUUGGAUAUCAAGACCUCAGGAAACGGCUGUGUGAAGAUUGAACAGAUGGAGAGCACUAACUGCCGAGUAGAAACAGAGAAGGGUGCGAGUGUAUUGAAGUCAAUAAAGAGUCAGAAAAUUGAUAUCCGGGCAAAAGGAGGGGACGUGAUCUGCUUGGGAAGUCUUCAAGGAAAUAUCAAUAUUCUUGUGUCACAAGAAAGUGGUGUGAACGCAGAAAAGCUCCAAGGAUCAUCUAUUAACAUUGCGAGUGAGAACGGUCUGCUCAAAGCUAAAUAUUUGUACGCGGACUCUUCGUUUCUGACUUCAGCGGCUGGCGACAUUUUACUGGGGACCGUCCAUGGGGAUAGUACCUUGGAGACUAAAACAGGGAGCAUCACCGUUGAUUCCUCCGAAGGAUCUUUAAAAGCCUGUACAUAUCAAGGGGAGAUAGAUGCCUAUGUUCUGCGUCAAACUGGAGCGGUAAACCUGGUUUCCCAGGAAGGCUCCAUUGUUGUCAAGGUACCUGGAACUCUUCAAGCUUCCCUGAAAUUAUCCGGAACGAAGGUGGAAAUCAGUCCAGAAAUCCAAUUGCAGGGGAUCCAGACUGUGUUGAGGGAAGACUGUGUCACAGUGACUGGCCACCUGGAUCAAAAGGAUGAGAAAGGGAAAUGCAUUAAAGCGGAGACACAGCGAGGCACAAUAACUCUCAAAAUGCAAAGCUGGUUCCAGUCUUUGAAGCUGAAUAUUCCUUGAUAAUACUUCCUUUUUUAAAUAUAGACAGAACAAUGAAAGGGGAUUGCUUGUAUUUCUUGAUAAAGAAAGGAUCUUCUGCCAGGCUUCCCGGCGAGAUCAAACUUUCUUCCACGGCUUGUUCGGUUACGGUUUCAAUCAGCGGAAGCUUGGCGUGUUCCAGGUCUUUCUGUCCCGAAAUCCCCACGAUGCUGGGUC
Crotalus tigris (Tiger rattlesnake) is the source of this 1496-nucleotide RNA transcript. It is a transcript of the gene named family with sequence similarity 185 member A, with no coding region annotated. The record is from RefSeq and is a predicted model, not a curated record. The transcript has 9 exons. Lineage: Eukaryota; Metazoa; Chordata; Lepidosauria; Squamata; Viperidae.